UACGAAGGGGGCUAGCGUUGCUCGGAAUUACUGGGCGUAAAGCGCACGUAGGCGGCUUUCUAAGUCGGGGGUGAAAUCCUGGAGCUCAACUCCAGAACUGCCUUCGAUACUGGAAAGCUCGAGUCCGGGAGAGGUGAGUGGAACUGCGAGUGUAGAGGUGAAAUUCGUAGAUAUUCGCAAGAACACCAGUGGCGAAGGCGGCUCACUGGCCCGGUACUGACGCUGAGAUACGAAAGCGUGGGGAGCAAACAGG
Molecule: ribosomal RNA, 253 nt
Filed under: uncultured bacterium
Lineage: Bacteria
Description: partial 16S ribosomal RNA
Rfam family: Bacterial small subunit ribosomal RNA
Source: RNAcentral